GUAGGGAAUCUUCGGCAAUGGACGAAAGUCUGACCGAGCAACGCCGCGUGAGUGAAGAAGGUUUUCGGAUCGUAAAACUCUGUUGUUAGAGAAGAAUGUUGAUUAGAGUGGAAAAUUAAUCAAGUGACGGUAUCUAACCAGAAAGGGACGGCUAACUACGUGCCAGCAGCCGCGGUAAUACGUAGGUCCCGAGCGUUGUCCGGAUUUAUUGGGCGUAAAGCGAGCGCAGGUGGUUUAAUAAGUCUGAUGUAAAAGGCAGUGGCUCAACCAUUGUGUGCAUUGGAAACUGUUAGACUUGAGUGCAGUAGAGGAGAGUGGAAUUCCAUGUGUAGCGGUGAAAUGCGUAGAUAUAUGGAGGAACACCGGUGGCGAAAGCGGCUCUCUGGACUGUCACUGACACUGAGGCUCGAAAGCGUGGGUAGCAAACAGGAUUAGAUACCCGUGUAGUCC
RNAcentral lists this ribosomal RNA (450 nucleotides) under uncultured bacterium. RNAcentral describes it as "partial 16S ribosomal RNA". It matches the Rfam family "Bacterial small subunit ribosomal RNA", at positions 354 to 796 of the family's 1533-position model. The record is from RNAcentral.